GUCAGGAGACAGAAGAGGAGCCUACAAGGCUUUCAAGAAAAAAGAAGGCUACAUUUAAUAGAGAGUAUCAGGAUUUCCUACUUCAAAUACGGACUUGUCUCAACGGGAGAUUCGCGCACAAAGCCCACUCUUCAUAAUAUGCGGCGAUGGUGCGACACGCUCCUGAGACCGGUCUUCCUCUCGUGUGGUGACCCACGGCUGCCGUGCAUGCUGCUGAUGGAGAGUCACAUGAGGAGUCAGUUCCCUCUGUCAAUCAAUGGAAGUCACAAGCAUUAAGUCUUCUAAUCCGGUGUCAGCUAAUCAUUUAUUGUACGGAUGGAUGCCAGGUGGCCUCGGUUGGGUGUAAGUGAGAUGCAAAAGGGUGAGAAUACGCUUCACAACACCUCCUUUCAUCUCGGCCAGGCUGACAUCAGAACACAACGGCACCUGGGGAGGAGGACCACCGCGCUCACACGUCGUCUCAAAGUGAAGAGUGAUGAUGACUGCAGAUUGACGUUGCGGAUGGAAGUGACAAACCACACUUGCCCCGUGCUUCAACAAGCAACCUUUUCUUUGAGUGAGCUCGCUUUCUGUUGUGAAACACUCAAGUUCUUGCCCACGAAGCAUGUUUGUUGGAUUGAUUUACUCCUCCUCGUCCUUACAUUUUUUUUUCAUGGUGUAACAAAAUAUAUGAACACAAACGGCGCAGCAGCACAUGUAGACAGACAAUAUAUCAAUACUCAGUAAUAUAUUCUGUAUCCUCUACAAAAAAAAAAUUUGCUUCCUGAGCACUUGUGACCAUCUUUAUGCUUACAUGUAUGAAUCCCUGUUUGCUUGCCUGUGUCUACGUAUCCAAGAAAAGGUGCAUCCA
Molecule: long non-coding RNA, 850 nt
Organism: Hippocampus comes (tiger tail seahorse)
Lineage: Eukaryota; Metazoa; Chordata; Actinopteri; Syngnathiformes; Syngnathidae
Exons: 4
Source: RefSeq, a predicted model, not a curated record